CACACACACACACACACACACACACACACACACACACAUGCACACACACACACUCGCUCCACAUCACACUGAUAAUCCCAGCAGCCUUAAAUAAUUUAUCAAGUGUGGAUUUCCCUUAAAAUAAAUGACUUUGUUUUUGAAUGAGCUCUCACUUAUCAUAUGUGAAUAAUAAGAGAAAAAAAUUAAGCUGAAAAACAAAACAAGGAAAAAUAAUAGAAUCAUCAUCAUCACAAUCAUGAAAAACAACCUUAUUUUCACAGGUUUCUUCAUGAAAUAAAAGCAUCAUUUAAUAAGAGAAAUUAUAACUUUAAGGUUGGCAGGGAGGUCGAUAAUUUUUAUCUGAAUGUGUAAAAAAAAAAGACUUCUUGAAAUACAGGAAGCACACCCCCUGACAUACACACUGACACACACUGACACACACACACAUACACACACACACACACACACACACAGUUUUAUGACUCUCUUCUUCAGUUAUGUCUGCAGCUGAUUGAUUUAAUUAGUUUAACAUACAUGUGCAUAAUUAAUGCCACAUAUUAACAACUCUAAAUAUAUCUCAACACAUCUUGAGCGCACAAUUAUUUUCCAGGCACCCUGAAAUAAAUCACUUAAUGCCAGCGUGCUUAAAUAAGAGCACAAUAUUUCUUUAUAUACUUGAAAACACUCCAUUAAAUAUUAAUAAUUUACAGCAACACUUCUGAGGAAAAUACAAUAUUUACAUCGCAUGUAAUGGGGCUGUUUUCAGACAUAUUUUUUGAAAGAAUUAGCAUAUUACGGCAUUAAAUCAACACUGAUUAGAGCAGAGGACACUGAGUAAGGAUUAUAAGAUUCAAAAAAUAUUUUUGUUGAAUUCAUCUGUUUGUCUUUAUUUCCUCCUGACUCCAGCACGUGGGAUGUGUGUCAUUUACAGGGAAUUGAUUUGCCGUUUGUUGGAACGUAAAAGCAGUUUGUUGCAAAGUGUCGGUGCUUUCCUCACACGUCGGCUGCUGCAGGUGACGUCCGAUGCAGGGAGCUGAGCCACUUCACUCCUCCCAGAUGUCCUUUUCCUUCCAAGCCGAGCAGCGACGGAGGCAUAUUUUAGAGAUCUCUCCCUCUCCGCUGAGGCAUCUUCUUAUCCUGUCAAUCAGCAGCCCGCCUCCACCCCGGCUCUGCGCGGGGCUGAGCAGCUUGGCGGAGAUGCAGGGUGAUGAUGAGAACUCGUCGCAGCCUAGCAGGGUUUCCUCCUCAUCAAGCUCAGAACAAAGGGGGGCCCGGUCCGCUCGGCUGCUCUAAAUACAGCCUGCAACAUGCCCCAGCCAACUGUUUAACACACUCUGCUUUUAUAUGCAGACGUGAAAAUAGAAGUGUGGAUGCCGGAAUCGGUCACAGGAGGGAGUUUCGUUGUGUUUGGAUGUCAGGUGAAGUGGUUUGACAAAAGUUACAGUACAUUGGAUGUUUUCAAAAACAAAACAAAACAGAAACUGCUGUGUAAUGAACAUUUGACGAAGUCAGAGGACACGCUAAGGAGGGCGAGGGUCAAUCACAAGUGGCUAAAAUCCAUAUUAAAAUAAAGGUGAAGAUUUGAACAGAUGAUGCAGAUAGCAGCUGUUUUCAGACACCAGGAAAGGAGUGCCUGACUACAGACAAGAUUUCACUCAUUAACCUGUGUGGCACUGCCUGAUGUCAGACACACUUGUCAACUCGUUACACUCCAACAACAAGUCGGCGGAGGUCUAUGUCCCAUCCCAUAGUACAGAGUGACUGGAAAUGUUUUAUACUGGAAAAGUGGCAAAAUUAUGCUCAUGUCGGACUACAUUUGCUUGAUGUGUGAGUGCGCUGUGAUGGACACUAUUGUGCCACAAUGCACAAAGAAUACUGAGGAGCUGUCACAAUGAGAACAACUCAAACACACUGUGGAUGUGUGAAGACUGAAUCAGUGUACAACUUUUUGUUUAACAUCGUCUCCGCAGAGAAGAUUUACACAAAAACAUGAUUUAAAGAUGUACACCAAUAAAAGUUUGAAUCAUA
This is a long non-coding RNA of Larimichthys crocea (large yellow croaker), 2007 nucleotides long. RefSeq lists it as uncharacterized. The record is from RefSeq and is a predicted model, not a curated record. The transcript is spliced from 2 exons. Lineage: Eukaryota; Metazoa; Chordata; Actinopteri; Sciaenidae.